CUCUUUAUGAUUAUAAUUUUAAGUUGUCUCUGCCCUAUGAUAAAAUAUUAAAUGGCUGCAGUAUUUUGACUGUACAAAGGUAGCAUAAUAAAUUGUUUUUUAAAUGAAAACUUGAAUGAAUGAGGUGAUAAAAUAUAAACUUUAUUUAAAUAAUUUAUUGAAUUUUUCUUUUAAGUUAAAAGACUUAAAUUUAUUUAAGGGACGAGAAGACCCUAUAGAAUUUUAUAUAAUUUAAUUUAUAAUUUUUAAAUUGAAUUUAUAUUUUUUUGGGAGGAAAUUUAAAUUUUUAAACUUUAAUAAAUUUUUUACAUAUAUUAAUGGUUAAAUAUAAAUGAUUUUAAGUUAAUAAAUUUUAAAUUAAAUUACCUUAGGGAUAACAGCGUAAUANNUUUUGAAAGUUCUUAUAGAAAAAAAUGUUU
RNAcentral lists this ribosomal RNA (419 nucleotides) under Epyris sp. RNAcentral describes it as "partial large subunit ribosomal RNA". Lineage: Eukaryota; Metazoa; Arthropoda; Insecta; Hymenoptera; Bethylidae. The record is from RNAcentral.